RNAcentral lists this ribosomal RNA (500 nucleotides) under uncultured bacterium. RNAcentral's name for it is "partial 16S ribosomal RNA". It matches the Rfam family "Bacterial small subunit ribosomal RNA", at positions 30 to 523 of the family's 1533-position model. The record is from RNAcentral.
AUUGAACGCUGGCGGAAUGCUUUACACAUGCAAGUCGAACGGCAGCACGGACUUCGGUCUGGUGGCGAGUGGCGAACGGGUGAGUAAUGUAUCGGAACGUGCCCAGUCGUGGGGGAUAACGUAGUGAAAAUUACGCUAAUACCGCAUACGAUCUAUGGAUGAAAGCGGGGGAUCGCAAGACCUCGCGCGAUUGGAGCGGCCGAUAUCAGAUUAGGUAGUUGGGGGGGUAAAGGCCCACCAAGCCAACGAACUGUAGCUGGUCUGAGAGGACGACCAGCCACACGGGAACUGAGACACGGUCCAGACUCCUACGGGAGGCAGCAGUGGGGAAUUUUGGACAAUGGGCGAAAGCCUGAUCCAGCCAUUCCGCGUGCAGGAUGAAGGCCCUCGGGUUGUAAACUGCUUUUGUACAGAACGAAAAGGUUUCUACUAAUACUAGGAGCUCAUGACGGUACUGUAAGAAUAAGCACCGGCUAACUACGUGCCAGCAGCCGCGGUAA